AUACGGAGGGGGUUAGCGUUGUUCGGAAUUACUGGGCGUAAAGCGCACGUAGGCGGAUUGGAAAGUUGGGGGUGAAAUCCCAGGGCUCAACCCUGGAACUGCCUCCAAGACUAACAGUCUAGAGUUCGAGAGAGGUGAGUGGAAUUCCAAAUGUAGAGGUGAAAUUCGUAGAUAUUUGGAGGAACACCAGUGGCGAAGGCGGCUCACUGGCUCGAUACUGACGCUGAGGUGCGAAAGCGUGGGGAGCAAACAGGAUUAGAAACCCUAGUAGUCC
This 274-nucleotide ribosomal RNA is filed under the name uncultured bacterium. RNAcentral describes it as "partial 16S ribosomal RNA". It matches the Rfam family "Bacterial small subunit ribosomal RNA", at positions 523 to 796 of the family's 1533-position model. The record is from RNAcentral.